UAAUACAUCACCAUUAUUGUACUUCUUCCUUCUUCACUUUGCUAACUGGCUACAUAGUGGUACCGUCCACUAUAAUAAAACGGGUAGACAUCAUGUAUGGGAUCUAUAUACUAGUGAAAAUACAUGAUGCACGCUUCAACUCCUGGUGGGUGAUGAAAUUGCACGGUGGUAAUGAAUGAAUUUUACGGCCUGGGCACGAAAUAGCGAAAAUCAGGGAAUAUUCCCAAAAACAUUCCCAAAAGAUGGCCAACAUUUUCGAUAUGAGAAAAGUAUAUAAUUAGGAACAAAUUCAGUUUACAAGCAACUUUCACAUAAGAGAUACUCAUGAAAGCCCAAAUUUAAUUCAGCCAACCUAAAAUACAAAAAGAAGAUACAGAGGUCAUGCUUACUUCUGCUGAAGUGGCAAAUAAUUCAGCUUGCAAAUGAUAAUAAAUCAGGAGGAAAAGCAGCUAUUGAAGAUUAUUAUUAUAUGAAUAUAAUAUUCCUUUUUUUCAACCCUUUAAAUAAACAUAAUUAAUAAUUCUAUUUUAGAUGAUUGUCAUUUUCCAAUAGAUACACUGUUAAUAUUUUAUCAAUGCAUAUUGUAUUGUGUAUUAUAAUAUUAUAUAUUAUUCAGUGCAAAUAUAAAUGAUCAAUCUGUCUAUGCAGUGUACACUUAAAAUUGAAUGUAAAAGUUAUUAUUUAAAAUAUAAAUAAUUAAAAAAAACCCUUUAUUUACUAAUAUUAUUUAAAUUUCUUAGUGGCAAAUAAUUCAGCUUGCAAAUGAUAAUAAAUCAGCAGAGAAAGCAGCUAUUGAAAAUUAUUAUUAUAUGGAUAUAAUAUUCCUUUUUUUCAACCCUUUAAAUAAACAUAAUUAAUAAUUCUAUAUUAGAUGAUUGUCAUUUUCCAAUAGAUACACUGUUAAUAUUUUAUCAAUGCAUAUUGUAUUAUUAUUGUGUUAUUAUAAUAUUAUAUAUUAUUCAGUGCAAAUAAAAAUGAUCAAUCUGUCUAUGCAGUGUACACUUAAAAUUAAAUGUAAAAGU
Long non-coding RNA from Gordionus sp. m RMFG-2023, 1022 nucleotides. RefSeq lists it as uncharacterized. The record is from RefSeq and is a predicted model, not a curated record. The transcript has 4 exons. Lineage: Eukaryota; Metazoa; Nematomorpha; Gordioida; Chordodea; Parachordodidae.